Long non-coding RNA from Lontra canadensis (Northern American river otter), 459 nucleotides. RefSeq lists it as uncharacterized. The record is from RefSeq and is a predicted model, not a curated record. The transcript has 4 exons. Lineage: Eukaryota; Metazoa; Chordata; Mammalia; Carnivora; Mustelidae.
CUUGACUCUGGAUAUGGGGGUGAUGGUGGCCCCCAAUGUCAUGGGGCUAUUCACUGAGACGGGAUUACAGAAGGGAAACAGACUGGGGAGAGAGAUAAGGAGAGCUUUCCUAGGUGCUGGGAAUGACAUGGGAGAAAGAUAACUGACCAGAUUCCCGGCUGCAUGGAAUUUAGAAUCUAGUUGUAGGGACAGGCAUACAGCAAAAAUAUGUAUAAGCCCCAUGGAAGUCAUCAACGAGUUUUUCGAAAGGAGGGAGGGGAGGCUCCAAUAACUGCUCAGCGUGCUGGGCACUGCGAGUCGGUGGUCCUCACGGGGUCUGGGGGCAGAUACCUUCAGUUCCUUGUGGAUGUGCCUGUUUCCCUCCUGCCCAGCAGGUGCAGGUAAGCACUCACUUCCACAUCUUCCUGUUGGUCAGUGGAAUGCAGCAACACGUCAUUGUCUGAAAGAGAAAAGAAUGAG